Molecule: ribosomal RNA, 298 nt
Filed under: uncultured bacterium
Lineage: Bacteria
Description: partial 16S ribosomal RNA
Rfam family: Bacterial small subunit ribosomal RNA
Source: RNAcentral
AACGAACGCUGGCGGCAUGCCUAACACAUGCAAGUCGAACGAGACCUUCGGGUCUAGUGGCGCACGGGUGCGUAACGCGUGGGAACCUGCCUUUAGGUUCGGAAUAACUCAGAGAAAUUUGAGCUAAUACCGGAUAAUGUCUUCGGACCAAAAGAUUUUAUCGCCUUUAGAUGGGCCCGCGUUGGAUUAGCUAGUUGGUGGGGUAAAGGCCUACCAAGGCGACGAUCCAUAGCUGGUCUGAGAGGAUGAUCAGCCACACUGGGACUGAGACACGGCCCAGACUCCUACGGAGGCAGCA